UGAAUUCCUCAGAACUCCACGAAGAC
RNAcentral lists this non-coding RNA (26 nucleotides) under Homo sapiens (human). The record is from RNAcentral. Lineage: Eukaryota; Metazoa; Chordata; Mammalia; Primates; Hominidae.